UGGGGAAUAUUGCACAAUGGGCGCAAGCCUGAUGCAGCCAUGCCGCGUGUAUGAAGAAGGCCUUCGGGUUGUAAAGUACUUUCAGCGGGGAGGAAGGGAGUAAAGUUAAUACCUUUGCUCAUUGACGUUACCCGCAGAAGAAGCACCGGCUAACUCCGUGCCAGCAGCCGCGGUAAUACGGAGGGUGCAAGCGUUAAUCGGAAUUACUGGGCGUAAAGCGCACGCAGGCGGUUUGUUAAGUCAGAUGUGAAAUCCUCGGGCUCAACCUGGGAACUGCAGCUGAUACUGGUAAGUUAGAGUUUCGUAGAGGGGGGUAGAAGUCCAGGUGGAGCGGUGAAAUGCGUAGAGAUCUGGAGGAAUACCGGUGGCGAGGGAGGCCCCCUGGGCGAAGACUGACGCUCAGGUGCGAAAGAGUGGGGAGCAAACGGG
This 429-nucleotide ribosomal RNA is filed under the name Chloroflexota bacterium. RNAcentral's name for it is "Chloroflexi bacterium partial 16S ribosomal RNA". It matches the Rfam family "Bacterial small subunit ribosomal RNA", at positions 355 to 776 of the family's 1533-position model. Lineage: Bacteria; Bacillati; Chloroflexota. The record is from RNAcentral.